This 253-nucleotide ribosomal RNA is filed under the name uncultured bacterium. RNAcentral's name for it is "partial 16S ribosomal RNA". It matches the Rfam family "Bacterial small subunit ribosomal RNA", at positions 524 to 776 of the family's 1533-position model. The record is from RNAcentral.
UACGGAGGGGGCUAGCGUUGUUCGGAAUUACUGGGCGUAAAGCGCACGUAGGCGGCUUUGUAAGUUAGAGGUGAAAGCCCAGGGCUCAACCCUGGAAUUGCCUUUAAGACUGCAACGCUUGAAUCAUGGAGAGGUGAGUGGAAUUCCGAGUGUAGAGGUGAAAUUCGUAGAUAUUCGGAAGAACACCAGUGGCGAAGGCGACUCACUGGACAUGUAUUGACGCUGAGGUGCGAAAGCGUGGGGAGCAAACAGG